GGUGCAAGAAUGUCCCUGUUGUGUCUUUCCUGCAGGCCUGAGCUCUGCAAUGUGGAGAGAUCUCAGGGGAAGGAGAAAAAGACUCCAGAUGCCAAACAAGGUGCACUUCUCUGAGCUACCAAGUCAGCAUUACCUUUUUCACUUCCCCAGCCUGUCCUAGGAAUUGAAUGCUCCCUGCUGAUGUGAGACCAGGACACCUUGUGACUGUAAUGGAGCUGGCUGUUCCCCUGUAGAGCAGCCACUGUCACUCCUACCAGGAAAAACAUCAGCACAGAAAAUAAGGAGAUAUCACACUCACUGAGGAGUGGGCAUUUUUCUGAGAACUCACCACCACCACGUGAACUGACUGCAAAGGAGAACGAGUUCAAGGACGGAAAGGUUCCUCACUGGGAAUCAUGGAUCUGCUGGGUUAAGUUUGAAUGUUGAUAUCUGCAUCUUCAGACACACUGACCUGUGGGCUCAGCUGUGACAGAAAACUGAGACCCAGUGAUGUGCUGCUGAAGUCUCUAAUAACACAUCAUGCCCACAGUACCUGCUGAAAACCCACUGAAAGGCCAGCAGGAAGAGUCAGAGGGAAUUCAGCCUCACCCCAGUCCUAGCUGUGAAACAAGCAGGGUAAGCAAACAGCCUUGCUAACUCAAGCAGAGGCAAAGCAGGAUGUUUGCUGGCAUUGCCCCCCAUGCAGCCUGUUUCUGA
RNAcentral lists this long non-coding RNA (696 nucleotides) under Numida meleagris (helmeted guineafowl). Its description in RNAcentral is "lncRNA (ENSNMEG00000018271.1)". Lineage: Eukaryota; Metazoa; Chordata; Aves; Galliformes; Numididae. The record is from RNAcentral.